This 2790-nucleotide ribosomal RNA is filed under the name Salmonella enterica subsp. salamae serovar 58:l,z13,z28:z6. Its description in RNAcentral is "bacterial LSU rRNA". It matches the Rfam family "Bacterial large subunit ribosomal RNA". The record is from RNAcentral. Lineage: Bacteria; Pseudomonadati; Pseudomonadota; Gammaproteobacteria; Enterobacterales; Enterobacteriaceae.
AGCGUACACGGUGGAUGCCCUGGCAGUCAGAGGCGAUGAAGGACGUGCUAAUCUGCGAUAAGCGCCGGUAAGGUGAUAUGAACCGUUAUAACCGGCGAUUUCCGAAUGGGGAAACCCAGUGUGAUUCGUCACACUAUCAUUAACUGAAUCCAUAGGUUAAUGAAGCGAACCGGGGGAACUGAAACAUCUAAGUACCCCGAGGAAAAGAAAUCAACCGAGAUUCCCCCAGUAGCGGCGAGCGAACGGGGAGGAGCCCAGAGCCUGAAUCAGCAUGUGUGUUAGUGGAAGCGUCUGGAAAGGCGCGCGAUACAGGGUGACAGCCCCGUACACAAAAGCGCAUGUGCUGUGAGCUCGAUGAGUAGGGCGGGACACGUGGUAUCCUGUCUGAAUAUGGGGGGACCAUCCUCCAAGGCUAAAUACUCCUGACUGACCGAUAGUGAACCAGUACCGUGAGGGAAAGGCGAAAAGAACCCCGGCGAGGGGAGUGAAACAGAACCUGAAACCGUGUACGUACAAGCAGUGGGAGCACAGGUUUACCUGUGUGACUGCGUACCUUUUGUAUAAUGGGUCAGCGACUUAUAUUCUGUAGCAAGGUUAACCGCAUAGGGGAGCCGAAGGGAAACCGAGUCUUAAUUGGGCGUUAAGUUGCAGGGUAUAGACCCGAAACCCGGUGAUCUAGCCAUGGGCAGGUUGAAGGUUGGGUAACACUAACUGGAGGACCGAACCGACUAAUGUUGAAAAAUUAGCGGAUGACCUGUGGCUGGGGGUGAAAGGCCAAUCAAACCGGGAGAUAGCUGGUUCUCCCCGAAAGCUAUUUAGGUAGCGCCUCGUGAAUUCAUCUCCGGGGGUAGAGCACUGUUUCGGCUAGGGGGCCAUCCCGGCUUACCAACCCGAUGCAAACUGCGAAUACCGGAGAAUGUUAUCACGGGAGACACACGGCGGGUGCUAACGUCCGUCGUGAAGAGGGAAACAACCCAGACCGCCAGCUAAGGUCCCAAAGUCAUGGUUAAGUGGGAAACGAUGUGGGAAGGCCCAGACAGCCAGGAUGUUGGCUUAGAAGCAGCCAUCAUUUAAAGAAAGCGUAAUAGCUCACUGGUCGAGUCGGCCUGCGCGGAAGAUGUAACGGGGCUAAACCAUGCACCGAAGCUGCGGCAGCGACACUGUGUGUUGUUGGGUAGGGGAGCGUUCUGUAAGCCGUUGAAGGUGGCCUGUGAGGGUUGCUGGAGGUAUCAGAAGUGCGAAUGCUGACAUAAGUAACGAUAAAGCGGGUGAAAAGCCCGCUCGCCGGAAGACCAAGGGUUCCUGUCCAACGUUAAUCGGGGCAGGGUGAGUCGACCCCUAAGGCGAGGCCGAAAGGCGUAGUCGAUGGGAAACGGGUUAAUAUUCCCGUACUUGGUGUUACUGCGAAGGGGGGACGGAGAAGGCUAUGUUGGCCGGGCGACGGUUGUCCCGGUUUAAGCGUGUAGGUGUGUGUUCCAGGUAAAUCCGGUUCACUUUAACACUGAGGCGUGAUGACGAGGCACCACGGUGCUGAAGCAACAAAUGCCCUGCUUCCAGGAAAAGCCUCUAAGCAUCAGGUAACAUCAAAUCGUACCCCAAACCGACACAGGUGGUCAGGUAGAGAAUACCAAGGCGCUUGAGAGAACUCGGGUGAAGGAACUAGGCAAAAUGGUGCCGUAACUUCGGGAGAAGGCACGCUGACAUGUAGGUGAAGUGGUUUACCCAUGGAGCUGAAGUCAGUCGAAGAUACCAGCUGGCUGCAACUGUUUAUUAAAAACACAGCACUGUGCAAACACGAAAGUGGACGUAUACGGUGUGACGCCUGCCCGGUGCCGGAAGGUUAAUUGAUGGGGUCAGCGCAAGCGAAGCUCCUGAUCGAAGCCCCGGUAAACGGCGGCCGUAACUAUAACGGUCCUAAGGUAGCGAAAUUCCUUGUCGGGUAAGUUCCGACCUGCACGAAUGGCGUAAUGAUGGCCAGGCUGUCUCCACCCGAGACUCAGUGAAAUUGAACUCGCUGUGAAGAUGCAGUGUACCCGCGGCAAGACGGAAAGACCCCGUGAACCUUUACUAUAGCUUGACACUGAACAUUGAGCCUUGAUGUGUAGGAUAGGUGGGAGGCUUUGAAGCGUGGACGCCAGUCUGCGUGGAGCCGGCCUUGAAAUACCACCCUUUAAUGUUUGAUGUUCUAACGUGGACCCGUAAUCCGGGUUGCGGACAGUGUCUGGUGGGUAGUUUGACUGGGGCGGUCUCCUCCUAAAGAGUAACGGAGGAGCACGAAGGUUGGCUAAUCCUGGUCGGACAUCAGGAGGUUAGUGCAAUGGCAUAAGCCAGCUUGACUGCGAGCGUGACGGCGCGAGCAGGUGCGAAAGCAGGUCAUAGUGAUCCGGUGGUUCUGAAUGGAAGGGCCAUCGCUCAACGGAUAAAAGGUACUCCGGGGAUAACAGGCUGAUACCGCCCAAGAGUUCAUAUCGACGGCGGUGUUUGGCACCUCGAUGUCGGCUCAUCACAUCCUGGGGCUGAAGUAGGUCCCAAGGGUAUGGCUGUUCGCCAUUUAAAGUGGUACGCGAGCUGGGUUUAGAACGUCGUGAGACAGUUCGGUCCCUAUCUGCCGUGGGCGCUGGAGAACUGAGGGGGGCUGCUCCUAGUACGAGAGGACCGGAGUGGACGCAUCACUGGUGUUCGGGUUGUCAUGCCAAUGGCACUGCCCGGUAGCUAAAUGCGGAAGAGAUAAGUGCUGAAAGCAUCUAAGCACGAAACUUGCCCCGAGAUGAGUUCUCCCUGAGACUUUGA